GUGAAUGCUGGCGGUAUGGAUAAGGCAUGCAAGUCACGGGGGCCGCAAGGCAACCGGCAGACGAGGUAGUAACACGUAGGUACGUACCCCGAAGACUGGUAUAGCUCGCCGAAAGGCGGGGUAAUCCCAGAUAGUCUCGAAAGAGUAAAGCUCCGGCGCUUCGGGAGCGGCCUGCGUAAUAUCAGCUAGUUGGUGAGGUAAUGGCUCACCAAGGCUAUGACGUUUAGGGGACCUGAGAGGGUGACCCCCACCGAUGAAACUGAGACACGGUUCAUACCCCUACGGGGGGCCGCAGCCGAGAAUAUUCGACAAUGGGCGAAAGCCUGAUCGAGCGAUACCGCGUGGUGGAUGAAGCGCUUCGGCGCGUAAACACCUUUUAUGGAGGAGGAAGUUAUUGACGUUACUCCAUGAAUAAGGGGCUCCUAACUCUGU
RNAcentral lists this ribosomal RNA (432 nucleotides) under uncultured bacterium. RNAcentral describes it as "bacterial SSU rRNA". It matches the Rfam family "Bacterial small subunit ribosomal RNA", at positions 29 to 506 of the family's 1533-position model. The record is from RNAcentral.